This 327-nucleotide unclassified non-coding RNA is filed under the name soil metagenome. Its description in RNAcentral is "partial contains 5.8S ribosomal RNA, internal transcribed spacer 2, and large subunit ribosomal RNA". The stretch from base 1 to 120 matches the Rfam family "5.8S ribosomal RNA", at positions 35 to 154 of the family's 154-position model. The record is from RNAcentral.
GAUGAAGAACGUAGUGAAAUGCGAUAAGUAAUGUGAAUUGCAGAAUUCAGUGAAUCAUCGAAUCUUUGAACGCACAUUGCGCCCCUUGGUAUUCCGGGGGGCAUGCCUGUUCGAGCGUCAUUAUAACCCCUCAAGCUCAGCUUGGUGUUGGGGCCUGCCAACUGGCAGCCCUUAAAAUCAGUGGCGGCGCCAUCUGGCUCUAAGCGUAGUAAUUUCUCUCGCUAUGGAGUCCCGGUGGACGCUUGCCAGCAACCCCCAACUUUCUAUGGUUGACCUCGGAUCAGGUAGGGAUACCCGCUGAACUUAAGCAUAUCAAUAAGCGGAGGA